UCUUAUGCGAUAGAUAUAUAUUUAAAACACUACCAACUUUCAUUCUCUAUUUUAUUUCCUCACUUAGUAUACAUAUUUCGAUCAAAUUGGAAAGCUUGUGCUAUUACAGUAGGGCACAUAACAUCUUCGAAUCACAAGUACUGUUCAUUAGAGUGAUUGGGCAUAUUUGGAGCACAAGGUAGGUACUUCCAAUGCAUUUUUAUGCCUCUGAACAUUUAAUCACAAAUUUUUUCCUUCUCACCCAUAAUCAAUAAAUUUGCUCAA
Long non-coding RNA from Olea europaea var. sylvestris, 264 nucleotides. RefSeq lists it as uncharacterized. NCBI's taxonomy places the organism in Eukaryota, Viridiplantae, Streptophyta, Magnoliopsida, Lamiales, Oleaceae. The transcript is spliced from 2 exons. The record is from RefSeq and is a predicted model, not a curated record.